This is a long non-coding RNA of Chroicocephalus ridibundus (black-headed gull), 2808 nucleotides long. RefSeq lists it as uncharacterized. The transcript is spliced from 3 exons. NCBI's taxonomy places the organism in Eukaryota, Metazoa, Chordata, Aves, Charadriiformes, Laridae. The record is from RefSeq and is a predicted model, not a curated record.
CGCCGCGCGGCCGCUUCCCCCUCAGCUCUCCGCAGCGCCGCCGCCCCGCCCCGCCGGCCCUCAGGCGGGCCCGGCCCUCAGCGGGGAUGGGCCGGGGGCAACGAGCGAGGGGGAGCUCCGCGCCCCUAGGAGAAGAGAGUAGGGCGGCUUCAGGCGGAGCGAAGCGGCGGGCGGGCCGCUCGUGUGGCUGCUGGCCGAGGUUGUUACUUCGGCAAAGUAAAUGGCGGGAGAGCGCAAGUUUCCUGUGAGCAUCUCAAUUGGUGUGGCCUUUUGAAUGAAGAAAAUUAAGGAAAUCCAGACAGAUUCAGAAUGUAACAAGAGUGGUGCUAGUCUGGAAGAACUGCUUAGAGUUACAGCAGCCCUGAUCAUCAAGGGACAGCACCUCUAUAUAUGCAGAAGCUAUGCCAACUGUUUUUAAAUGGCACCUUAAAGAAGAAUGGAAGCAGCCGCUGAGAACGUGAGCUUCUGUGGAGAUAUGACAUCAGCAGGAUACAAAACAACAAAAAUAGGUGGAUCAUAAAACUCAGAAGAACACAGGCCGCAAAGCUCAGGCAGCAGCAUGGAGAUUGGAAACUGAGUGCCAAAAAGUUUCUAGGGCACAAGUGAACGUACUGGAUUCCAAAGGCCUCCAGAGAAUUAUGUAAGAGGAAGAAAAAAGAUCACCACCGACAGUUGUAUCAUGAAACAAACGUCAGUCACACCACCGCAACAAUUUAAAUCCCAGAUGGCACAGCAAAGAAAUUUAUUAAAAGUACUGAAGCUAAAGGUUCUUUCUGGUAAGGACUGCAUGAACUGAGUAACGCUGCACCCAGGGUAAUUCUUUCCUACAACUAUUUUGUAAUUAGAUGUGCACUUCACUGAGACCAAAACAUCACUCUGAUGGUUUUUUGAGGGACCUUAUAACUAGAAAUGGAUAAAAUGAUCAAGCCAGUACGUCAUCUGCUUUGCGGAUUACUUACUUGUAUUGACAGAAAAAAAAGGCAUGGGGACAUGAAAAAAAGAGACUAAUUCUGAGAAGUCAGAAAAUUUGCCAGCUGAUAGCCCUUACUAAACACUGAAGGCUGUAUACUUGGAUAGAUUCAAGCAAUUUAAUGCAUUAUAGAGGAGUCAAUAUGAAAUACGUACUAUCGGUAAGGUAUUACCUCACACGGCAAAACAAAACCGCUCUUGUACUUGCUGCCAAAGGACGACAUUGGCAGCUGUUUCUUGAUAAGGACAACAGCUACAUCACCACACUCUGGAUUUCCUGAGACAAAUUGGUAGGGAUGGUAGAAUGCCCCAGGGAUCAAACGUACAGGAUUUGAAAAGCAGGACAGGCAACAAGACUCACUAACAGGACUCGAGCACUUCAUAGAUUAAUGUUGAAAUUAUAUUGAGAAUAUUUUGGAUGUAAAGAUAGUAUAGCAAGAAGUAUAGCAAGGCAUGAACUCGAUCUCCUCUCUCUUAUCAGCGUAAGCAGGAAAGCUGGAAGAACAAGGUGAUUUCUGGCUCAUUGCUGCACCAUCCAUGAUUUACCUGCUGACUUACCCACAGCUUGCUUUUAACAGCUGAAACCAACAGAGAAGAUAUGCCACAUGUAAAAGAUAUUAUUACAUCGUAUCAAAGCCUUCAUUAAAAAAUAUUUAACAUAGGUUUUUUUCCAAGUUAGACUAGUGUAUAUAAACCCCCAGGGUGAGUAGAAGAUGGAAAUGCAAGAGAUGCAGUUCAUCUAAACAAUAAAGCAAAGAGCAGGGGUAGCCCAUUCUGAAAUUCAGUGAUAUUCUGCAGCGUGCACGAGCAGACAGCAUGUUGCUGCCAAGAUGGGGAUUGGGACAUUGUUUCUAGAAAUAAGGCAACCGGGAGCUUUCACGUUAAUCUUACUAAUACCCACAGAAAAACCUCCCCGCAAAUAAAGUAUCUUACCAUCACCUGCAUGUGUAAUAAGCGCCACCAGCACAGCGGGGAAGGAAAGUCUUCAGAAACUACUGUAAAUAAUUAGAAGGCAUAUUUAUGAAGUACCCUAUUACACACCCCCAGAACACUGUUACCUGAUAUUCUUGGAAUAGCAGAGCUAAAACUGAGAUACUACGAGACGCAUAUAGAUGAUUUCUCACACAGCAAUCGCGACGAGAAAGCUAUGAAAAAUGCAUUUUUCUUCCUAAGGCAAAGCAUCAUUUAAAGCAACUAUAUAGGAGAUUGAAGGCAGGAACUUAAAAGAACAAGUUCUGACCAGAGGGUCACAAUUGCUACUAGCAUCCUAAGGAUACUUGGAAGAUCUGCAUAAUCUGCAUAAACAAAAGAGGCAUCAUAUAUAAGCAAUAUACUAUAUAUUAAACAUAUACUCUUCAGAAAAGUUAUUCUUGAAAACAUACAUUAGAGCCAUUUUGAUUUCUCAUAUGCAGGCAACUAUAAGAGAGAUGAAAGACCUGGUAAAUAGCUAUGUCAUACAUAGGAACAUCCAGAGCCAGACAUUGGAAAUGUGCAACGUUCCCAGUAGAGCUCAGUAUACAUUAGGAACGCACAGAAAUUCUCUCAUUAUCCUAAACCAUUAUCUAGGGGUUUGGAAGUGAUACAUAUUGUCAGAUACUGCUGCAGUGAUUACUGCAGGCAAAGCAACGUAGCAUUUCAAUGGACAGUCAUUCUGGCCGAUUUAAAAAUGCUUAUUUUAAUGAGAGAAAACUCCAUAAAACUCUGGAGGAGUGGCUCAUCACCCCAGAUACAUGGCUUCGCAUCAGAACUGAGGAUGUGCCCAGAAGAUAUGCCCUGUCCUGGAAUGCUGUUAGCUACCCCUUAGCAGGUCUCUGCCUAUUCAGCUACAGCGAUCGCAUC